GUCUAUCACCAUACUACCCUGAAUGAACCUGAUCUUCUCUGAUCUCAGAAGCUACUCAGGGCCAGGCCUUAUUAAUACUUGGAUUGGAGACAGCCUGGGAAGACUUUUGAUUUUAUAGGAG
Molecule: ribosomal RNA, 121 nt
Filed under: Microtus ochrogaster (prairie vole)
Lineage: Eukaryota; Metazoa; Chordata; Mammalia; Rodentia; Cricetidae
Source: RNAcentral